This 478-nucleotide ribosomal RNA is filed under the name uncultured bacterium. Its description in RNAcentral is "partial 16S ribosomal RNA". It matches the Rfam family "Bacterial small subunit ribosomal RNA", at positions 28 to 523 of the family's 1533-position model. The record is from RNAcentral.
GGCGAACGCUGGCGGCGUGCUUAACACAUGCAAGUCGAACGGUAAGGCCCUUCGGGGUACACGAGUGGCGAACGGGUGAGUAACACGUGGGUGAUCUGCCCUGCACUUCGGGAUAAGCCUGGGAAACUGGGUCUAAUACCGGAUAGGACCACUGCCUGCAUGGGUGGUGGUGGAAAGCUUUUGCGGUGUGGGAUGGGCCCGCGGCCUAUCAGCUUGUUGGUGGGGUGAUGGCCUACCAAGGCGACGACGGGUAGCCGGCCUGAGAGGGUGACCGGCCACACUGGGACUGAGAUGCGGCCCAGACUCCUACGGGAGGCAGCAGUGGGGAAUAUUGCACAAUGGGCGCAAGCCUGAUGCAGCGACGCCGCGUGAGGGAUGACGGCCUUCGGGUUGUAAACCUCUUUCAGCACCGACGAAGCGCAAGUGACGGUAGGUGCAGAAGAAGGACCGGCCAACUACGUGCCAGCUGCCGCGGUAA